UGAGAUCACGCUUUAUAAUAUUCAGAAAACAGAACUUUCAAGUUCAUCUUCUUCCUUGUUUAUCGGUAUUCUUGAGAAUCAACGAUACACAAGCUUCGAUCGAGUUUCGGGAAUUCUUAGACUAAACGAAUUUCGUUUGACUUACUUACGCUGUGCCAGUUUUGGUAUCAGAGCGAGUUCCGUUCCGACCUAAUUUUUUUUUUUUCUUCUCCAAACCAUUUCAGACUCUUUUCAAUGGCUCCACGACGUACAAACACAACCGACAACACGCUGAACGAGUGGGAGGAGUUGCGAAGAACACUCGUAACGAUGCAGGAGAACAUCCAGUUGACAAUUCACAACUCGAUGAGAGAGUUCGCUGAGGCAACUUACGAGAGGUAUGAUCGUGAUCGCAUGGAUCAUGGUCGUCGUGAUCGUGACCGAGAUCGUGGGCAAGCUGUCUCUGAAGAUGGAUCGACCGACGUGGACGAUAACCCAUUCGC
This 482-nucleotide long non-coding RNA is filed under the name Brassica napus (rape). RNAcentral's name for it is "long non-coding RNA (BNAP_LNC016546)". Lineage: Eukaryota; Viridiplantae; Streptophyta; Magnoliopsida; Brassicales; Brassicaceae. The record is from RNAcentral.